RNAcentral lists this ribosomal RNA (510 nucleotides) under Tiarodes venenatus. RNAcentral describes it as "partial 16S ribosomal RNA". It matches the Rfam family "Bacterial large subunit ribosomal RNA", at positions 1819 to 2597 of the family's 2925-position model. The record is from RNAcentral. Lineage: Eukaryota; Metazoa; Arthropoda; Insecta; Hemiptera; Reduviidae.
GUCCUUUUGUUUAUAAAUAUAAGGUCUGGCCUGCCCGAUGAUUUAUUUGAAUGGCCGCGGUAUUUUANCCCGUGCUAAGGUAGCAUAAUCAUUUGUCUUUUAAUUAAAGGCUUGAAUGAAUGGUCGGACGAAGUAUUUUCUUUCUUUGAUUUAUUUGAAUAAUUUAACUUUUAGGUUAAAAGGCCUAAAUCUUUUUAGGGGACGAGAAGACCCUAUAGAUCUUUAAGUGCGAUUUUUGAGAGUUGGUUUAGGGAAUGGUAUAUCUUAAUAUAAUUGUAUUUUUGGUUGGGGUGACUGUGGAAUUUCAAUAACUUCCAUUAUUUGAUAUCAUUGAUUAAUGUAUUUUUGAUCCAUUAUUAGUGAUUAUAAGAUUAAGUUACCUUAGGGAUAACAGCGUAAUUUCUUCGGAGAGUUCUUAUUGAUGAAGGAGUUUGCGACCUCGAUGUUGGAUUAAAAUUAGUAAUGGGUGUAGAAGUUCAUUAACUAGGUCUGUUCGACCUUUAAUUUUUU